UACGAAGGGGGCUAGCGUUGCUCGGAAUCACUGGGCGUAAAGCGCGUGUAGGCGGUCCGGUAAGUCGGUUGUGAAAGUCCAGGGCUCAACCCUGGGAUGCCGACCGAUACUGUCGGACUAGAGUUCGGAAGAGGCGAGUGGAAUUCCCGGUGUAGCGGUGAAAUGCGCAGAUAUCGGGAGGAACACCAAUGGCGAAGGCAGCUCGCUGGGACGUUACUGACGCUGAGACGCGAAAGCGUGGGGAGCAAACAGG
Molecule: ribosomal RNA, 253 nt
Filed under: uncultured bacterium
Lineage: Bacteria
Description: partial 16S ribosomal RNA
Rfam family: Bacterial small subunit ribosomal RNA
Source: RNAcentral